ACUGUUUGGCACAAAGGAUACUUUAAGAAGCCGAAAACAUACUCCUCACUCAUUGCAUGACUUCAAGGCAGACAUAAUAAAAAGGUGUAUAGAAGAGGUUGUUAAAAAGUUACAUUUUAUAUCUCGAUCAGCAUCUGGACCCAUCAUCAAAGUUGUUGCAGAUAAAAUGGGCAAGAAAUAAGGGAUAUCUUGGAGCGCUGGCCUGCAUUAUCAGAUGCAACACAGGUAAAACAAUGCAGUUGAAGUAUGGAGAGAAGUAGCCAUUCACUGUCUUGUUGUCUAUCUUGGAGAGAAAGAAGAGGAUCUUUUCAAGGAGUUUGCUAAUACACAAGAAAUUGAGGCAGACCUUGAAAAGCAAGUGAUGAAAAUUGCCAUCAUUGGUGAUCUGUCAACUAUGGAAUUAAACUACAAGACGGGAACCAUCAUUGUUGAGGGCAUCAGAAUCCUGAUUGGAAUGAAUAUCUCAAGGUGUUGUGCUCUGCUAACGGGCAUAAUAUAUGCUCUGAAUCUGAGCUACCCCAAGGAGCUUAAAUAUACUUGUUAAGUGUUUCAGAAGCUGUUUCUUGAACUUGAUGGACUGAAUCCCAGUGCAAAAGUAAUGCGUCUCAAGAACAGCAUUUUCUGAAGCCUCUACUUAUUUCAAAGUACAUUUUGCUCUUUAUGUUGCAACUACAUUGUUUUGUAUUUUGAAGUCCACAUGCUGAUCUUUUUAUUUCAUACUGUUUAUAUGAAUGGUGGCAUUUAUAUAUGUUUGUUUAUAAUAAUACAAAUGUUACAUGUUUUACAAUUAAGGUUAACUAAUAACAAGUAGUUUGUAAAAUAUUCAAUUUAUAAGUUAAUAGUUAGCUUUAAGUGUAUCAAUGCCUAUAACUCUUGUUUUGAUGGAAUUCAUUGUGAUGGCAUAGCUAUGCAUGCAUGCACAUUUUUGAAGGCAAAGCUGACGUGUCAGUUUGUUUAUAAUUUGUGAGACAGUACACAUUUGUGUUUUGUAAACUUUGAGAAGUGCAAUAUUUAAAAUAAAACACUGAAAACUGUGUUUCUAAAUAAAUAAAAAGCUACUGAAAUUAAAA
This is a non-coding RNA of Danio rerio (zebrafish), 1070 nucleotides long. NCBI's taxonomy places the organism in Eukaryota, Metazoa, Chordata, Actinopteri, Cypriniformes, Danionidae. The record is from Ensembl.